Small nuclear RNA from Ictidomys tridecemlineatus (thirteen-lined ground squirrel), 107 nucleotides. Lineage: Eukaryota; Metazoa; Chordata; Mammalia; Rodentia; Sciuridae. The record is from Ensembl.
GUGCUGGCUUUGGCAGCACAGAUACUAAAAUUGGAAUAAUAUAGAGAAGAUUAGCACGGCCCCUGCACAAGGGUGACACAAAAAUUCAUGAAGCAGUCUGUAUUUUU